RNAcentral lists this non-coding RNA (293 nucleotides) under anaerobic digester metagenome. RNAcentral describes it as "T-box". It matches the Rfam family "T-box leader". From Rfam's summary of the family: Uncharged tRNA acts as the effector for transcription antitermination of genes in the T-box leader family. T-boxes are found upstream of many aminoacyl-tRNA synthetase genes and some amino acid biosynthetic genes usually in Gram-positive bacteria. The record is from RNAcentral.
ACAAAAACAAUGAAGGGGAGAAGUAAGCAACUUUAUAGAUGGCAGAGAGCCGGGGCAAGGUGCGACCCGGUAUCGAUGGUUGCUGAAAUACACCCCGGAGCAGCAAACCGAAAGCAGCCGCUUGACAGCAGUUGAUGAGCGUUUGGUGAGUAGGCUUUGACGGAGCACUCCUACCGUUAAACAGGAGAGGGUAUAAUGCCGGUGCAAACACCAGCCCGUACCCGGAACAGAGGAGGGGCCUGAUAGGCCCAACCAGGGUGGUACCGCGUGAAGAUAAAGCUUCCGUCCCUAUG